Sebastes umbrosus (honeycomb rockfish) is the source of this 149-nucleotide long non-coding RNA. RefSeq lists it as uncharacterized. The transcript is spliced from 3 exons. NCBI's taxonomy places the organism in Eukaryota, Metazoa, Chordata, Actinopteri, Perciformes, Sebastidae. The record is from RefSeq and is a predicted model, not a curated record.
GACGUCACCCAUAGGUUUCUGAAGAGCCAAAACGAAGCACAAUGUGGGUGGCUCCGGCGUUCGCCAUCUUGGCAGUGACGACUCCAGCUAAUCCAAAAAUGGGCAAAGAGGUGGAGCGUGGAUGGAGCUGAGGCGGGCCGAAUGAAGCC